Molecule: ribosomal RNA, 801 nt
Filed under: uncultured Alphaproteobacteria bacterium
Lineage: Bacteria; Pseudomonadati; Pseudomonadota; Alphaproteobacteria
Description: bacterial SSU rRNA
Rfam family: Bacterial small subunit ribosomal RNA
Source: RNAcentral
AAGUCGAACGCGUGUAGCAAUACACGAGUGGCGGACGGGUGAGUAACGCGUGGGAACCUGCCCAGAUGGUAGGGAAUAACUGCGGGAAACUGCAGCUAAUACCCUAUGAGCCCUACGGGGGAAAGAUUUAUCGCCAUUGGAGGGGCCCGCGUCGGAUUAGCUAGUUGGUAGGGUAACGGCCUACCAAGGCAACGAUCCGUAGCUGGUCUGAGAGGAUGAUCAGCCACACUGGGACUGAGAUACGGCCCAGACUCCUACGGGAGGCAGCAGUGGGGAAUAUUGGACAAUGGGGGAAACCCUGAUCCAGCAAUGCCGCGUGAGUGAAGAAGGCCUUAGGGUUGUAAAGCUCUUUCGGCGGGGACGAUGGUGACGGUACCCGCAGAAGAAGCCCCGGCUAACUUCGUGCCAGCAGCCGCGGUAAUACGAAGGGGGCUAGCGUUGUUCGGAAUCACUGGGCGUAAAGGGCGCGUAGGCGGCGCGACAAGUCAGGCGUGAAAGCCCCGGGCUCAACCCGGGAAUUGCGCUUGAUACUGUCGUGCUUGAGGCCGGGAGAGGAUGGCGGAAUUCCCAGUGUAGAGGUGAAAUUCGUAGAUAUUGGGAAGAACACCGGUGGCGAAGGCGGCCAUCUGGACCGGUUCUGACGCUGAGGCGCGAAAGCGUGGGGAGCAAACAGGAUUAGAUACCCUGGUAGUCCACGCCGUAAACGAUGAGUGCUAGACGUCGGGGGGUUCACCCUCCGGUGUCGCAGCUAACGCUUUAGCACUCCGCCUGGGGAGUACGGUCGCAAGAUUAAAACUCAAA